Molecule: ribosomal RNA, 468 nt
Filed under: uncultured bacterium
Lineage: Bacteria
Description: partial 16S ribosomal RNA
Rfam family: Bacterial small subunit ribosomal RNA
Source: RNAcentral
GACGAACGCUGGCGGCGCGCCUAACACAUGCAAGUCGAACGGAGCUGAGAGAAGCUUGCUUUUCUUAGCUUAGUGGCGGACGGGUGAGUAACGCGUGAGUAACCUGCCCUGGAGUGGGGGACAACAGUUGGAAACGACUGCUAAUACCGCAUAAGCCCACGAUCCGGCAUCGGAUUGAGGGAAAAGGAUUUAUUCGCUUCAGGAUGGACUCGCGUCCAAUUAGCUAGUUGGUGAGGUAACGGCCCACCAAGGCGACGAUUGGUAGCCGGACUGAGAGGGUGAACGGCCACAUUGGGACUGAGACACGGCCCAGACUCCUACGGGAGGCAGCAGUGGGGGAUAUUGCACAAUGGGGGAAACCCUGAUGCAGCGACGCCGCGUGGAGGAAGAAGGUUUUCGGAUUGUAAACUCCUGUCGUUAGGGACGAUAAUGACGGUACCUAACAAGAAAGCACCGGCUAACUACGUG